RNAcentral lists this microRNA (22 nucleotides) under Lingula anatina. RNAcentral describes it as "Lan-Mir-8_5p* (star (passenger))". The record is from RNAcentral. Lineage: Eukaryota; Metazoa; Brachiopoda; Lingulata; Lingulida; Lingulidae.
CAUCUUACGUGACAGCAUUAGA